This 524-nucleotide ribosomal RNA is filed under the name uncultured bacterium. RNAcentral describes it as "bacterial SSU rRNA". It matches the Rfam family "Bacterial small subunit ribosomal RNA", at positions 18 to 518 of the family's 1533-position model. The record is from RNAcentral.
UCUGGUUCAGGACGAACGCUGCGGCGUGCCUAAUACAUGCAAGUCGAACGGCUUUUCUAUGGAAGCUUGCUUCCACUGAGAAGAUAGUGGCGAACGGGUGAGUAACACGUGGGUAACCUGCCCAUAAGAGGGGGAUAACAUCCGGAAACGGGUGCUAAUACCGCAUAGUUUCUUGAUCGCAUGAUCGGGAAAGGAAAGACGGCCUUUGUGCUGUCGCUUAUGGAUGGACCCGCGGCGUAUUAGUUAGUUGGUGAGGUAACGGCUCACCAAGACGAUGAUACGUAGCCGACCUGAGAGGUGAUCGGCCACAUUGGGACUGAGACACGGCCCAAACUCCUACGGGAGGCAGCAGUAGGGAAUCUUCCGCAAUGGACGAAAGUCUGACGGAGCAACGCCGCGUGAGUGAAAGAAGGUUUUCGGAUCGUAAAACUCUGUUGUCAGAGAAGAACAAGUUGGAGAGUAACUGCUCCAGCCUUGACGGUAUCUGACCAGAAAGCCACGGCUAACUACGUGCCAGCCGCCGC